RNAcentral lists this long non-coding RNA (1033 nucleotides) under Anser brachyrhynchus (Pink-footed goose). RNAcentral describes it as "lncRNA (ENSABRG00000000204.1)". Lineage: Eukaryota; Metazoa; Chordata; Aves; Anseriformes; Anatidae. The record is from RNAcentral.
AUAAUAUUUAUUUAUUUAUUUAUUUAUUUAUUUAUUUAUUUAUUUAUUUUUAAAAAGGAAAUACAUUGCUGUCACCAGUGUAUGGGGAAGUAGGUUGACAGGAGAGCCAAAAUAGCCUGUCCACACCUCCUGUCCCUGACAGCCCUUGUGCAACUUAGGGGCCUCUGUGCUUCCACCUUCCUCCUAUCCUCAGACAUGCGUUUGACCUUUAUGGGGCCAGAUUUCUGAAAUGACCGAAAGCAAUACGGACACCCAGUCAAUAGGCACGGUUGUUGUGCUUGUUUCGUAAUCUGAAUGGAGGUAGGACGUGCUCUUGGGCUCACAAAGCACCAAAAUGUAUCCGCCAACCAGAACUAAUUCACAAUAUGAAUUAAUUAAUGAGAAAUAGAAGCCAGAUUAGGAUAAAAAUGAUGUGAUUUUUCACCCUUUAUUGUAUAUUGCUCCUCCCUGUUCUCAGAACAGCUCAAAAGGAGUUGCAGGAACUGUGAUUUGCAUUGCUUGGUCUUGUUUAUACAUGUUGUUAAACCACUCUUCAUGCGGGUUUAGUUACACCCUGUACUGACACCCAUAAUAAAUGCAGGAUUUUAUGAGGCAGCGUAGGAAAUGCAGAGCCCUAAGUACUAGGGCUUUCGCCAUAGAUAACAGAACAGCUCAGAUCGGAGUGAGCUGCAACACUCCCCUCUUUCUCUUCGUAGAUUAAAGAUGAUUGAUCGCUCAGGCUCACCCUUUGUAUCACAGAGGUCAGAGCAUUUCAGCCAGGGAUUCCUGCAGCCAGUGCAGAUGAUAAGCACUAUGUGUUUUUCCUGGAGCACAGUACAGAGUGUCAGGCUUCCAUCCUACAUGCACGCUGCAAACAUGACUCCCAGCCUGAAUCCUCAGACCCCGCUGGGUUAACUACAAAAAAUUGCUGCUAAGUGGUAAGCAGCCAAAAAGUGCUUUAACCCUUCCAGAGAAGGCCCAUAUCUGUAUUCCUUUUGAAAGAAUGUUGUUAUUUCUAAAUAAAUCAUUGUACUUUUGUUAAAUGCUUUAUGAA